CCCCUCUCUGAGUUGCACCUGGAGAGUUUCCAGUCCUCUACCAGUCUCGGCUACAGGAGGGAGAGUCAAGCAGAGGCCUGUCCAUUCCAUUCCUAGUUUGGCCAAUGGCUAGCGAGUGGAAGGCAAUCUGCUACAAGU
RNAcentral lists this small nucleolar RNA (138 nucleotides) under Ornithorhynchus anatinus (platypus). The record is from RNAcentral. Lineage: Eukaryota; Metazoa; Chordata; Mammalia; Monotremata; Ornithorhynchidae.